GGGCCUUACCGAGAUAACUCCCAACCCCAAUGUGAACGUUACCAAUCUGUUGCCUCGGCGGGAUUCUCUUGCCCCGGGCGCGUCGCAGCCCCGGAUCCCAUGGCGCCCGCCGGAGGACCAACUCCAAACUCUUUUUUUCUCUCCGUCGCGGCUCCCGUCGCGGCUCUGUUUUAUUUUUGCUCUGAGCCUUUCUCGGCGACCCUAGCGGGCGUCUCGAAAAUGAAUCAAAACUUUCAACAACGGAUCUCUUGGUUCUGGCAUCGAUGAAGAACGCAGCGAAAUGCGAUAAGUAAUGUGAAUUGCAGAAUUCAGUGAAUCAUCGAAUCUUUGAACGCACAUUGCGCCCGCCAGUAUUCUGGCGGGCAUGCCUGUCCGAGCGUCAUUUCAACCCUCGAACCCCUCCGGGGGGUCGGCGUUGGGGAUCGGCCCCUCACCGGGCCGCCCCCGAAAUACAGUGGCGGUCUCGCCGCAGCCUCUCCUGCGCAGUAGUUUGCACACUCGCACCGGGAGCGCGGCGCGGCCACAGCCGUAAAACACCCCAAACUUCUGAAAUGUUGACCUCGGAUCAGGUAGGAAUACCCGCUGAACUUAAGCAUAUCAAUAAGGCGGAGGAA
RNAcentral lists this ribosomal RNA (614 nucleotides) under Trichoderma longibrachiatum. RNAcentral's name for it is "eukaryotic LSU rRNA". The stretch from base 229 to 382 matches the Rfam family "5.8S ribosomal RNA". The record is from RNAcentral. Lineage: Eukaryota; Fungi; Ascomycota; Sordariomycetes; Hypocreales; Hypocreaceae.